Long non-coding RNA from Caretta caretta (loggerhead turtle), 1921 nucleotides. RefSeq lists it as uncharacterized. The record is from RefSeq and is a predicted model, not a curated record. Lineage: Eukaryota; Metazoa; Chordata; Testudines; Cheloniidae.
UUUGCUGCGGCUGGGCUGUCUGCGGCAGCCCGCUCCCGCGAGCCGUGCGGGGAAGCGGGGCGCAGCCCCCGCCUCAGGGGCACACGGCGUAGCGUCCCCGGGCCUGCCCAGAGCGUGGUGGAAGGGCCCAGCCACGAACACUCCCGCCCAGGCUGCCAGGCCGGGCGGACGCUCAUGGCUAGUGUCUGACGCCCGCCUCCCGCGGGGACUGAGCAGAGAGCCCGCCCCCCUCCCGGCGGCUGAGGAGCAGCUCCGGGUCCAUCCGUGGCAAUAACUGGCCCCAAGGGGGGCCCCGUCCGCGGGAAGCCUGCGGCAGACCCAGGAACAGAACCCUGCUCUGUCGCUAGGCAGCGCGGCCUCCCCACCUCAUGUUCAAUAGGGAUUGAUUAGACUAAUGAACAUGUCCAGCUUGAGAUGAGUCGAACACUUGGGUCUUCUCUCUCCCCCCAUCAGGCCCAUACAAGAACCCCUACGAGCUGAUUUGAGAAAGUCCAUGCAGAAAAGAGAUUAAUAAGAUCCCUGUCUCUAAGGUGCCACAAGUACUCCUUUUCUUUUUGCGAAUACAGACUAACACGGCUGUUACUCUGAAACCUGGCCUACUAGAGAGUCUGAUUUAAGGUGACUGUUCUAAUCCAGCCCAGCCUAGCAGUGCCAGAAGGUCAUUUACCAUCCAAUGGCUGUUAGGAAGCGCAUGCAGGCCAACCUGUAAACCAUGUUGUCAGUCGCCCCUCCCUCCGUCAGAGCAAUGGCAGACAAUCGUUUUGUGCCCUUUUCCCUGGAUUGCCCGAGCAGACACCAUAGCAAGCAAGCAUGGAGCCUGUUCAGCUCACCACAGCAGUUAUGACCAUUGUAAACACCUCGCACAUUAUCACGCUGUUUAUGCAGAACCACCACCUGAAAAAACUGGCGAGGAGGUGACAGCAGUGCAGUGAUGAGGACAUGAACACAGAUUUCUCUAAAACCGCAGUCCCCAGCAAUUUGGAGAUCAUGGUGUUAAUGGGGCAGGCUCAUGCCGUGAAACACCGAUUCUGGGCCCGGGAAACAAGCACAGAGUGGUGGGACCACACAGUGUUGCGGGUUUGGGAUGAUUCCCAGUGGCUCUGAAACUUUCGCAUGUGUAAGGGCACUUUUAUGGAACUUUGUGACUUGCUUUCUCCUGCCCUGAAGCGCAAGAAUAUCAAGAUGAGAGCAGCCUCACAGUUCACAAGCAAGCAAUAGCCCUGUGGAAGCUUGCAACGCCAGACAGCUACCGGUCAGUCGGGAAUCAAUUUGGAGUGGGCAAAUCUACUGUAGGGGUUGCUGUGAUGCAAGUAGCCAACGCAAUCAUUGAGCUGCCUCUAUCAAAGGUAAUGACUCUGGGAAAUGUGCAGGUCAUACUAGAUGGCUUUGCUGCAAUGGGAUUCCCUAUUUAUGGUGGGGCUAUAGAUGGAACGCAUAUCUCUUAUCUUGGGACCAGACCACCAGAGCAGCCAGUACAUAAACCACAAAGGGUACUUUUCAAUGGUGCUGCAAGUACUGGUGGAUCACAAGGGACGUUUCACCAACAUCAACGUGGGAUGGCUGGGAAAGGUUCAUGACGCUAGUGUCUUCAGGAACUCUGGUCUGUUUAAACGGCUGCAGGAAGGGAUUUACUUCCCAGACCAGAAAAUAACCAUUGGGGAUGUUGAAAUGCCUAUAGUUAUCCUCUGGGACCCAGCCUACCCCUUAAUGCCCUGGCUCAUGAAGUCGUACAUAGGCACCCUGGACAGUAGUAAGGAGCUGUUCAACUAAAGGCUGAGCAAGUGCAGAAUGGUGGUAGAAUGUGCAUUUGGACAUUUAAAGGGUCGCUGGCGCAGUUUACUGACUCGCUCAGACCUCAGCAAAACCGGUAUUCUCAUUGUUAUUGCUGCUUGCUGUGUGCUCCACAAUCUCUGUGAGAGUA